GAUGAACGCUGGCGGCGUGCUUAACACAUGCAAGUCGAACGAAGCACCUUGAUUUGAUUCUUCGGAUGAAGAUCUUGGUGACUGAGUGGCGGACGGGUGAGUAACGCGUGGGUAACCUGCCUCAUACAGGGGGAUAACAGUUAGAAAUGACUGCUAAUACCGCAUAAGACCACAGCACCGCAUGGUGCAGGGGCAAAAACUCCGGUGGUAUGAGAUGGACCCGCGUCUGAUUAGGUAGUUGGUGGGGUAACGGCCUACCAAGCCGACGAUCAGUAGCCGACCUGAGAGGGUGACCGGCCACAUUGGGACUGAGACACGGCCCAAACUCCUACGGGAGGCAGCAGUGGGGAAUAUUGCACAAUGGGGGAAACCCUGAUGCAGCGACGCCGCGUGAGCGAUGAAGUAUUUCGGUAUGUAAAGCUCUAUCAGCAGGGAAGAAAAUGACGGUAC
Molecule: ribosomal RNA, 450 nt
Filed under: uncultured bacterium
Lineage: Bacteria
Description: bacterial SSU rRNA
Rfam family: Bacterial small subunit ribosomal RNA
Source: RNAcentral